CUGAAAUCUGAUCUUGGUUUGGAAGUACUUAUUGCGAUUAGCUGUUUAAAUAAUGUUCUUUUUUCCUUUUUAUAGGUCCUUUUAUUCUGUGUAACAGCUGCCCUGUUUAUGUUCUUUUUCAGCAAGGAUGGUUUGAAAGGAUUUACAUUCUCGGCACUGAAAAACUGGAGGUAAACAUCAGUUUCUGGCAAUAUGAGUCAUAAAUGGGUGAUGUGACUAUGGGAUGCUACAAACAGCGAUAAAUGCAUGUGAUUACC
Molecule: long non-coding RNA, 257 nt
Filed under: Laticauda laticaudata (blue-ringed sea krait)
Lineage: Eukaryota; Metazoa; Chordata; Lepidosauria; Squamata; Elapidae
Description: lncRNA (ENSLLTG00000009743.1)
Source: RNAcentral